UACGGAAGGUCCGGGCGUUAUCCGGAUUUAUUGGGUUUAAAGGGAGCGUAGGCCGGCUUUUAAGCGUGUUGUGAAAUGCCGCGGCUCAACCGUGGCACUGCAGCGCGAACUGGAGGCCUUGAGUGCGCAGGAGGUAGGCGGAAUUCGUCGUGUAGCGGUGAAAUGCUUAGAUAUGACGAAGAACUCCGAUUGGGAAGCCAGCUUACUGUAGCGCCACUGACGCUGAUGCUCGAAAGUGCGGGUAUCGAACAGG
Molecule: ribosomal RNA, 253 nt
Filed under: uncultured prokaryote
Description: partial 16S ribosomal RNA
Rfam family: Bacterial small subunit ribosomal RNA
Source: RNAcentral